UUUUCGGCCUUAGUCAUGUUUAUCUCUUCCGGUGCGUUCUCGGCCUUGGUUUCUUUCUCGGAACUUAAUGCUGAAGACAAAUGCCUUUGUUGAUCCUUUGAUUCUUCUUUCUCUUCCAAGACACCAAUGGCCACAUUAUCUUCAGACUGGUCGCCUGCUUCACCAACUUCAUCCAUCUGUGUGGACUCGUCAGUUUCAACUAGAUUCCUGGACAGAUCCUCAGGCUCAACAGAAACAUUUAUACCGCUGGCUUCACCAUCAAUCAUGUCUGUAUCAUCCGAUGGGUUCUCAGCCUUGUUCUCUUCCUCUGAACUUAAUGCUGAAGACAAAGGCUCCCGUUGAUCCUUUGAUUCUUCUUUUUCCUCCAAUACGCCAAUGUUAUCUUCAAACAGGUCGCUUGCAUUACCAACUUCCCCCAUCUGUGUGGGCCCCUCAGUUUCAACUAGACUCCUGGACAAAUCCUCUGGCUGAACCGAAACAUUAAUACCGCUGGCUUCACCAUCGGUCAUGUUUAUCUCUUCUGGUGUGUUUUCGGCCUUAGU
RNAcentral lists this long non-coding RNA (542 nucleotides) under Brassica napus (rape). Its description in RNAcentral is "long non-coding RNA (BNAP_LNC013065)". Lineage: Eukaryota; Viridiplantae; Streptophyta; Magnoliopsida; Brassicales; Brassicaceae. The record is from RNAcentral.